GUGGGGAAUAUUGGACAAUGGGCGAAAGCCUGAUCCAGCCAUGCCGCGUGUGUGAAGAAGGUCUUCGGAUUGUAAAGCACUUUAAGUUGGGAGGAAGGGCAGUAAGUUAAUACCUUGCUGUUUUGACGUUACCGUCAGAAUAAGCACCGGCUAACUUCGUGCCAGCAGCCGCGGUAAUACGAAGGGUGCAAGCGUUAAUCGGAAUUACUGGGCGUAAAGCGCGCGUAGGUGGUUUUGUAAGUUGGAGGUGAAAUCCCCGGGCUCAACCUGGGAACUGCCUCCAAAACUGCAUGACUAGAGUACGGUAGAGGGUAGUGGAAUUUCCUGUGUAGCGGUGAAAUGCGUAGAUAUAGGAAGGAACACCAGUGGCGAAGGCGACUACCUGGACUGAUACUGACACUGAGGUGCGAAAGCGUGGGGAGCAAACAGGAUUAGAAACCCUGGUACC
Molecule: ribosomal RNA, 448 nt
Filed under: uncultured bacterium
Lineage: Bacteria
Description: partial 16S ribosomal RNA
Rfam family: Bacterial small subunit ribosomal RNA
Source: RNAcentral